AGUGAUUAUAACAACAAAAUCACUCGCCAGAGUACUACUAGCAACAGCUUAAAACUCAAAGGACUUGGCGGUGCUUCAUACCCCCUAGAGGAGCCUGUUCUAUAAUCGAUAAACCCCGAUCAACCUCACCAACCCUUGCUAAUUCAGUCUAUAUACCGCCAUCUCCAGCAAACCCCUAUAGGGAUCAAUAGUAAGCUUAACUAUUCAAACAUAAAAACGUUAGGUCAAGGUGUAACCGAUGGGAUGGGAAGAAAUGGGCUACAUUUUCUUGUCCUAAGAAAAUCUCAAAAUACUUACGAAAGCCCCCAUGAAACUGAGGGCCCAAGGAGGAUUUAGUAGUAAAUCAAGAACAGAGUGCUUGGUUGAACUAGGCCAUGGAGCACGCACACCCCGCC
RNAcentral lists this ribosomal RNA (395 nucleotides) under Camelus dromedarius (Arabian camel). Its description in RNAcentral is "partial small subunit ribosomal RNA". It matches the Rfam family "Bacterial small subunit ribosomal RNA", at positions 811 to 1394 of the family's 1533-position model. The record is from RNAcentral. Lineage: Eukaryota; Metazoa; Chordata; Mammalia; Artiodactyla; Camelidae.